UACGGGGGUGGCAAGCGUUGUUCGGAAUUACUGGGCGUAAAGGGCGCGUAGGCGGGGAGGUAAGUCGGGUGUGAAAUCCCUCGGCUCAACCGAGGAACUGCGCCCGAGACUGCCUUUCUUGAGUCCCGGAGAGGAAGGUGGAAUUCCCGGUGUAGCGGUGAAAUGUGUAGAGAUCGGGAGGAACACCGGUGGCGAAGGCGGCCUUCUGGACGGUGACUGACGCUGAGGCGCGAAAGUGUGGGGAGCAAACGGG
This 253-nucleotide ribosomal RNA is filed under the name uncultured bacterium. RNAcentral's name for it is "partial 16S ribosomal RNA". It matches the Rfam family "Bacterial small subunit ribosomal RNA", at positions 524 to 776 of the family's 1533-position model. The record is from RNAcentral.